CAAUAGCGUAUAUUAAAGUUGUUGCAGUUAAAAAGCUCGUAGUUGAAUUUCGGGUCCCCGCGCUCGGCGCUUCAUUGUGCCGUCGUGGUGUCCCUCCUCGCCGUAAGGCGUCCUUUACUGUGAAAAAAUUAGAGUGUUCAAAGCAGGCAAUCGCUUGAAUACAUUAGCAUGGAAUAAUAAGAUAGGAUCUUGUCUAUUUUGUUGGUUGCGGACAACGAUAAUGAUUAAUAGGGAUAGUUGGGGGUACUCAUAUUCAACUGUCAGAGGUGAAAUUCUUGGAUUUGUUGAAGAUGAACAACUGCGAAAGCAUUUACCAAGGAUGUUUUCAUUAA
This 332-nucleotide ribosomal RNA is filed under the name uncultured eukaryote. Its description in RNAcentral is "partial 18S ribosomal RNA". It matches the Rfam family "Eukaryotic small subunit ribosomal RNA", at positions 592 to 976 of the family's 1831-position model. The record is from RNAcentral.